RNAcentral lists this long non-coding RNA (593 nucleotides) under Pongo abelii (Sumatran orangutan). RNAcentral's name for it is "lincRNA". The record is from RNAcentral. Lineage: Eukaryota; Metazoa; Chordata; Mammalia; Primates; Hominidae.
UUUCUUGCUAAAUUGGAAUGCAAACUAUUUUAGUUGCUAAAGAUGAAAUAUAAAAUAUUUUAGAAAGCCACCACACCCAGCCCAAAAUUCAUAUAUUGAAGCUUUACCCCCCAGUACCUCAGAAUAUGACUAUAUUUGAUGAUAGGGGCUUGAGAGAGGUGAUGAAGUUAAUCAUGUCUUUGAUCUUGGAUUUCCAGCCUGCAGAACCGUGAGGAAAUAAAUUUCUGUUAUUUAAGCCACCUAGUCUGUGGUAUUUUGUUAUGUCAGGCCUAGCAAACUAAUACAUGCCCCAAAGUGACAAUUCUGGAAACGUUAGACUGGUCAAUUUACAGCGGAUUAAAGUGUACACCAAGUGUCAGUCAGUUUAAUAAUUUACAUUGGGAUUACACUGGGAUUAUUUACUGGGAUUCCAGGCGUGAGCCACUGUACUCGGCCCAAAAUUUGUAGUCUGGAUGUUCUAAAACUGUUAUGUUGCUACUCUUUCUGAAAAAUAUGUCUGUUUAGUGGUAGAAGGCUAACAUUUCUUUGCUGUUAAACUUGAAGCUAAUUUAUUCUCUUUCAAGACACAUUUUAUUAAAGGAAGGUCAAGAGAA